This 1409-nucleotide ribosomal RNA is filed under the name Leuconostoc mesenteroides. RNAcentral describes it as "bacterial SSU rRNA". It matches the Rfam family "Bacterial small subunit ribosomal RNA". The record is from RNAcentral. Lineage: Bacteria; Bacillati; Bacillota; Bacilli; Lactobacillales; Lactobacillaceae.
CAGUCGUACGCUUCUUUUUCCCCGGAGCUUGCUCCACCGGAAAAAGAAGAGUGGCGAACGGGUGAGUAACACGUGGGUAACCUGCCCAUCAGAAGGGGAUAACACUUGGAAACAGGUGCUAAUACCGUAUAACAAUCGAAACCGCAUGGUUUUGAUUUGAAAGGCGCUUUCGGGUGUCGCUGAUGGAUGGACCCGCGGUGCAUUAGCUAGUUGGUGAGGUAACGGCUCACCAAGGCCACGAUGCAUAGCCGACCUGAGAGGGUGAUCGGCCACAUUGGGACUGAGACACGGCCCAAACUCCUACGGGAGGCAGCAGUAGGGAAUCUUCGGCAAUGGACGAAAGUCUGACCGAGCAACGCCGCGUGAGUGAAGAAGGUUUUCGGAUCGUAAAACUCUGUUGUUAGAGAAGAACAAGGAUGAGAGUAACUGUUCAUCCCUUGACGGUAUCUAACCAGAAAGCCACGGCUAACUACGUGCCAGCAGCCGCGGUAAUACGUAGGUGGCAAGCGUUGUCCGGAUUUAUUGGGCGUAAAGCGAGCGCAGGCGGUUUCUUAAGUCUGAUGUGAAAGCCCCCGGCUCAACCGGGGAGGGUCAUUGGAAACUGGGAGACUUGAGUGCAGAAGAGGAGAGUGGAAUUCCAUGUGUAGCGGUGAAAUGCGUAGAUAUAUGGAGGAACACCAGUGGCGAAGGCGGCUCUCUGGUCUGUAACUGACGCUGAGGCUCGAAAGCGUGGGGAGCAAACAGGAUUAGAUACCCUGGUAGUCCACGCCGUAAACGAUGAGUGCUAAGUGUUGGAGGGUUUCCGCCCUUCAGUGCUGCAGCUAACGCAUUAAGCACUCCGCCUGGGGAGUACGACCGCAAGGUUGAAACUCAAAGGAAUUGACGGGGGCCCGCACAAGCGGUGGAGCAUGUGGUUUAAUUCGAAGCAACGCGAAGAACCUUACCAGGUCUUGACAUCCUUUGACCACUCUAGAGAUAGAGCUUCCCCCUUCGGGGGCAAAGUGACAGGUGGUGCAUGGUUGUCGUCAGCUCGUGUCGUGAGAUGUUGGGUUAAGUCCCGCAACGAGCGCAACCCUUAUUGUUAGUUGCCAUCAUUUAGUUGGGCACUCUAGCAAGACUGCCGGUGACAAACCGGAGGAAGGUGGGGAUGACGUCAAAUCAUCAUGCCCCUUAUGACCUGGGCUACACACGUGCUACAAUGGGAAGUACAACGAGUCGCGAAGUCGCGAGGCUAAGCUAAUCUCUUAAAGCUUCUCUCAGUUCGGAUUGUAGGCUGCAACUCGCCUACAUGAAGCCGGAAUCGCUAGUAAUCGCGGAUCAGCACGCCGCGGUGAAUACGUUCCCGGGCCUUGUACACACCGCCCGUCACACCACGAGAGUUUUAACACCCGAAGUCGGUGAGGUAACCU